UGUACACACACCUGACAAUCA
Molecule: non-coding RNA, 21 nt
Filed under: Caenorhabditis elegans
Lineage: Eukaryota; Metazoa; Nematoda; Chromadorea; Rhabditida; Rhabditidae
Source: RNAcentral